GUCAUAMUUYUAUAAUAGAGAAUGUUAUUUGUAAAAUGAACGUACUAUGCUUUUCGGUGAAAUGAGUCAACUUAAUCCUCCUUCCACGUAUUAACUAUACAAACAUUGACUAUAAACAAGGAUUAGAUACCCUUUUAUACAAUGCACAACAACUUUACAGAGCACUAAAACCCUCUAGGUUAAAACUUAAAUAACAUGGCGGUAAUCUUGGCUCUUAGGGGAACUUACCAUAUAAAUGAUAACCACCAAGUUAAAUUAACUUAAAGAAAUUCUUGUAUGCCGUCGUCGGCAGAUAAUAUUUAACAUUUUAUCUUAAUAAACUUUAAAAAGACAGAUCAAGGUGCAGACAAUCUUUAAGUGAUGGCGAGUUACAAUUAGCAAACUAGGCGGAUAGUCCUUUGUACUGAGGCCUUUAAGAAGGACUUAACAGUAAUUCAUAUUAUAUAUUACUGCGUGAAAUCACCAGGAUUGUGCACAA
This 478-nucleotide ribosomal RNA is filed under the name Papuexul bidwilli. Its description in RNAcentral is "partial 12S ribosomal RNA". Lineage: Eukaryota; Metazoa; Mollusca; Gastropoda; Stylommatophora; Camaenidae. The record is from RNAcentral.